AUAAAUGGUCAAUUUCAUUCAACCCAUUUGACCAAUUAGGGUUUCGAUAUCGAAUUCCAAAUUGGGAAAUCUAAUCGAUUUUUGAGAAAACCAUCCAUUGCAUCCAGCCAUUUGAUCGGUUGGGGUUUUGACCCGUGCUUCACUGAAAAAUUUGGUCAACGAAUUCCAAUCUCUUCGAUAGGAAGUUCGUCAAGGUCAAAUCCGUGCGUUUUUGCAAAUUUUUGUAUCGAUCAAAAGUGAUCAAUCCCUUCGAACGAGGUCUUUAUUUUGACAAACGUCCCUUCUCAUUCCAAUGGGCUAAAUUUUUCAAAAUUAUUUUUUUCACUCAAUGGGUUAAUCGGAUCCAUCAGGUAUUGUAUAGUGCCUAUUCUAGCGGAUUGCAUUUUCAUGCUAGGCCUACCCUUGGCACAAAAGGGUUCCCCCAUAGGACAUGCAUAUCGAUUUUACAGUUUUACCUACUAACUCGGGAUAUUUUUCUUUGUUUUUCCCCUCCCCUGCAUUCAUAAAAAA
This 510-nucleotide long non-coding RNA is filed under the name Coffea arabica (coffee). RNAcentral's name for it is "long non-coding RNA (CARA_LNC005023)". Lineage: Eukaryota; Viridiplantae; Streptophyta; Magnoliopsida; Gentianales; Rubiaceae. The record is from RNAcentral.